This is a long non-coding RNA of Rhipicephalus microplus (southern cattle tick), 1728 nucleotides long. NCBI's taxonomy places the organism in Eukaryota, Metazoa, Arthropoda, Arachnida, Ixodida, Ixodidae. The record is from RefSeq and is a predicted model, not a curated record.
AUCCUUAGAGAGUGAAGCUUGCUGAUCUCGGAAGCCAUAAAAAAAAUUGGCGUCGGCCGUCUACGCUGCUACACCGUCUAAGGUGCUACAGGCGCAUCGGAUGUAAACGCGGGUCCACUUGACUGCCGCUGUGCUGCGGAGAAGCCGAACAUGCGCUCCCGAAGCAGUCCGAGAAAUUCGGUAUAUUCAUUGCGCGCUUGAGUACGUUCGCUAUAAAAAUGCCAAAAUACGUGUAAUUCUUUAUACUUUCUGUCGGUAGUUCGAUAUAGCCAACAAUUCGUUAUAUACAUGUUCAUUAUAUCGAGGUUCGACUAUAUCGUGGUGGCACUCAACAAAUGUGAGUCACAAAACAAGGGCAAAAGUAGGCAUAAUUAUUAUUACAGUAAUCAAAAUACUUAAUUAAACUGGGUGUAUUAGAGCAAGAGCUCGUUUAAUGUACAUACACUUAAUAAACUGACAAGAGGUAAAAACAUGACACGAAAAAAGGUAAAACCAUGAUAACAGUAAAAAAAGAAGACAUAAUGCACAGGAGUAACUGUUUUUAAAACGAAAUAUAUAAUAACAAAGGCGUAAAACAAACACUGAUGUUGAUUUCAGAUGAAGCUCUGAAGAAGGAUUUUGAAGUUUUUCGUGUUAGUUAUGCUUGUGAGUGUUGCAGGUAGGUUGUUCCAAUGCCUUGUUGUUUGGGGGGAAAAUGGAUAUGAAAAGUCACCGGUGUUACUGUGUGGAAUGUUUACCCUUUGUCGAUGGUCUACGCACGAUGAAAUGUAUGGUGGUGGCUGAAUGAAAAUAGAAUGUAAAUAUGGGUUGUGGUAGUAGAUUGUAUGAAAAAGACAGAGUGGAGACAGUUUUCUGCAGAGUGAUAGUGGUGGAAGGUGUAGAAUGUCUUUCAUGCUUGUAACACUGGCAGUUCUUUGGUAGUAGUUGAGCAAAAAGAGACAGAUGGAGCGAUUUUGUAUCUUGUUUAGUAGUUUUAUAUGAUUCUCAUAUCCGGUGUCCCAUACUGACGAUGCAUAUUCAAGCUUUGGUCGAAUGAAAGUUGUGUACAGUAGUAGUGUUAGUGAUGAUGGAGCUUGAGAAAACUUCCAGCGAAAGUAUCCUAAUGUGCCAGUGGCCUUGGUAGCUAUGUGAUGAAUAUGAGUUUUACAUGAUAAGUUAUUAGUAUUAUGAACACCCAAGUAUUUGCAUAAUAUUAUGCAUUCCAGUGGAAUGUUAUUAAGUGCGUAAGUUAAGUGCUUGGUGACGAACUUGCCGAGACAGAGCUCGCACGUGUGCCUCCGAACGUUGUUGUGCCACAUUAGGUGGCUCUGGAGGCUCGUGCUUUGUGGGAACGCUUCGGGGCACAGGUGGCAGCUUGUAGCCUACCGACAUGGCGCAGUGAGGGCACUUGAGCAGCCUGAGCUUCUCGUGCACCCGCUACCGAUGUCGGUCCAGGAUGGAUAUAAAAGACACCACCUUGGAGCCCGACGGCGACAGCCGGGUCUCGGCAGAACGACUGCUCGACGCGAGCGUGGAAGUUUCCUCGCUGUCCUCGGAGAUUGGCGGCACUGCGAAGUUCCAACAGGUUUGCCAUGUGUUGGAGAAAAACAAAUUUACACCAUGAAGCAGCCGAUGGUCUCUUCAUCAUCUUCUUCCUCUUCAGCUUCGCUCCCAUAACAGAGGUCCCUGUGCCCUUAUGGUGCUUGGUGUAUGCUGUGGAAGUCAUAGAAAAAAAAAAAGAAUACUUCC